CACGUAGGGGGCAAGCGUUGUCCGGAUUUAUUGGGCGUAAAGAGCUCGUAGGCGGCUCAGUAAGUCGGGUGUGAAACCUCCAGGCUCAACCUGGAGACGCCACCCGAUACUGCUGUGGCUUGAGUCCGGUAGGGGAGCGUGGAAUUCCUGGUGUAGCGGUGAAAUGCGCAGAUAUCAGGAGGAACACCAGCGGCGAAGGCGGCGCUCUGGGCCGGAACUGACGCUGAGGCGCGAAAGCCAGGGGAGCAAACGGG
RNAcentral lists this ribosomal RNA (254 nucleotides) under uncultured bacterium. RNAcentral describes it as "partial 16S ribosomal RNA". It matches the Rfam family "Bacterial small subunit ribosomal RNA", at positions 524 to 776 of the family's 1533-position model. The record is from RNAcentral.